CCUCGUUUUUUGUUGGGUUGUAAUGUAAAUAGUACAUGAUGGAGCUCGAGUAGAAAGUAUUUAUUCAUUUCUCAGGGGCAAGGAUCUAGGGUUAAUACCAAUCAAUACGUUGGAACAAACUUCGUAAGUAUAUUUUUGAUAUAGAAAUCGAAAGGAUCUAAUUCGAGCAAUUUUUUAAUCCAAAAGGAAAAUCUUUUGGAAUUGCUAAAACUCUUUCGAUCAAAAGUGUAUCAUGCAAGAAUCAAUUGUUCGUAUGAUUCUUUGAUAGAAAGAAAUCACAAAAAGGGGUGUGUUGCUGCCAUUUUUUAAAACGAUUAAAGAUCACCGAAGUAAUGUCUAAACCCAAUGAUUCAAGGCAAAGAUAAAGGAUCCUGGAACAAGGAAAUACCGUUUUCAAUUGUCUCAACAAUUAGAUCAGAAUGGAGACUCCCAAAAUAAAAUGGAUUCGAAAGGAGACAAACAACAAAUGGGUUAGAGACCGCUCAAAAAAUGAAAUGCCUAAGGAUUUUCUUUUAGGCGAUUUGAAAGUUAUCCAACUUGAGUUAUGAGAGUACGAAUGCUUUUUUUUUUUUUCUCCUUUUUCAAAAAAAAAAAAAAAAAAAAAGGAUUUAAAUCUUUGAAAAUUAAUUUAAGGGUUUUAUAAACCUUUUUA
This 652-nucleotide ribosomal RNA is filed under the name Lannea sp. KS-2019. Its description in RNAcentral is "partial large subunit ribosomal RNA". Lineage: Eukaryota; Viridiplantae; Streptophyta; Magnoliopsida; Sapindales; Anacardiaceae. The record is from RNAcentral.